UGAGGAAUAUUGGUCAAUGGGGGCAACCCUGAACCAGCCAAGUCGCGUGAAGGAUGAAGGUCCUAUGGAUUGUAAACUUCUUUUACACGGGAAUAAAGUGGGGGACGUGUCCCCCUUUGCAUGUACCGUGUGAAUAAGGAUCGGCUAACUCCGUGCCAGCAGCCGCGGUAAUACGGAGGAUCCGAGCGUUAUCCGGAUUUAUUGGGUUUAAAGGGUGCGCAGGCGGGAUGUUAAGUCGGCGGUGAAAUUUUGCAGCUCAACUGUAAAAGUGCCUUCGAUACUGGCCUCCUUGAGUGUGGAUGAAGUAGGCGGAAUUUGUGGUGUAGCGGUGAAAUGCUUAGAUAUCACGAGGAACUCCGAUUGCGCAGGCAGCUUACUAAGCCACAACUGACGCUCAUGCACGAAGGCGUGGGGAUCAAA
This 420-nucleotide ribosomal RNA is filed under the name uncultured bacterium. RNAcentral describes it as "bacterial SSU rRNA". It matches the Rfam family "Bacterial small subunit ribosomal RNA", at positions 355 to 772 of the family's 1533-position model. The record is from RNAcentral.